Macadamia integrifolia is the source of this 896-nucleotide long non-coding RNA. RefSeq lists it as uncharacterized. NCBI's taxonomy places the organism in Eukaryota, Viridiplantae, Streptophyta, Magnoliopsida, Proteales, Proteaceae. The transcript has 2 exons. The record is from RefSeq and is a predicted model, not a curated record.
CUUCCUUCUUGCUUUGAAUUUUCCGACGCCUCUGAUUUGUUUGUCCGCACUAGUCAAUUUCUUAAUUAAUUUUAUGCUUGUCACUAGUCCUUGUCCUUGUCCUUGGUGGAUCCUGAUCCUCACCAAUUUCCUUAAGAAGCAAUUAGGUGCAAUUUUUCCUUAAUCCGACGGCAACAGUUGCUGCUAAUAUGGAUGGUCAAGAUCAAGUGAGAGAAAACCAAGGCUCAAUGUGGUCUGCAGCUGCAAAGCCCGAUCCAGAUCGGAAGAUCCACCAUUCAAAAUCCCUUUGAUUCAAAAGUGCCCUUUGGCCGAUAGCAGAUGUGCCGACGCGUUUCAUCGGAAGAAGGCUAGAAUCGCUAUUGUACCGAUUGCAAGACUACGAAAACCACCUUGUGGAGAGGCGAACUAGUUGGGCCUAAGAUAGAGAAAGAACAGAAGGGCUCUGCUAAGCUUUAGCAAAGGAGGACGAGAGAAGAAGAAAGACAGGAGAAGUAACACAAAUAACAACAACAAGCUCGGUGUUUCACUAAAGCUUAGAAUACUAGAAUUAGGGAGGAAGGUAUUUCUGGAUAGAUCAACCAUGGAGAAGUAGAGGAAGUUGGGAGAAGAAGAACGAGCGGCCGUGCUACUGAUGGCCUUAUCCCGUGGCUCUGUCUAUGCCUAAUCAAUCCUUGAGAUAUUUGGGAAAUUUCAGUUUUCUUUUAAGUUUUGAUGUUUAUCCCUGCAAACCCUUUUGCUUUUCCUUCUUGUUUAAUGGGGUUUGGGGGGUUAUAGACAUAAAAGAAGAAAUUGAAGGUAGGUAGGAGGAUGAGGAUGGUUGCAGAUCAUGGUUUUGUUAACAAGGACUAAAUCCUGUACUCUUUUGUUCCGUAAAUGUAUCUAUAAAUCUUUUUAUA